GUGAAAUUGUUGAAAGGGAAGCGCUUGCAACCAGACUUGCACGCUGUCGAUCAUCCGAACUUCUGUCCGGUGCACUCGACUGCGUUCAGGCCAGCAUCGGUUUUGGUGGUGGGAUAAAGGCCUUGGGAAUGUAGCUUCUUUCGGGGAGUGUUAUAGCCCUCGGUGCAAUGCCGCCUACCGGGACCGAGGACCGCGCUUCGGCUAGGAUGCUGGCGUAAUGGUUGUAAGCGACCCGUCUUGAAACACGGACCAAGGAGUCUAACAUCUAUGCGAGUGUUUGGGUGUCAAACCCAUACGCGUAAUGAAAGUGAACGGAGGUGAGAACCCUUAAGGGUGCAUCAUCGACCGAUCCUGAUGUCUUCGGAUGGAUUUGAGUAAGAGCAUAGCUGUUGGGACCCGAAAGAUGGUGAACUAUGCGUGAAUAGGGUGAAGCCAGAGGAAACUCUGGUGGAGGCUCGCAGCGGUUCUGACGUGCAAAUCGAUCGUCAAAUUUGCGUAUAGGGGCGAAAGACUAAUCGAACCAUCUAGUAGCUGGUUCCUGCCGAAGUUUCCCUC
RNAcentral lists this ribosomal RNA (555 nucleotides) under uncultured Ascomycota. Its description in RNAcentral is "LSU rRNA". It matches the Rfam family "Eukaryotic large subunit ribosomal RNA", at positions 399 to 974 of the family's 3401-position model. The record is from RNAcentral. Lineage: Eukaryota; Fungi; Ascomycota.